UACGAAAGGGGCUAGCGUUGUUCGGCCUUACUGGGCGUAAAGCGCACGUCGGCGGCCUUGUACGUUGGGGGUGAAAUCCCGGAGCUCAACUCCGGAACUGCCUCCAAAACUACAAAGCUCGAGGAUGUGAGAGGAGAGUGGAAUUCCGAGUGUAGAGGUGAAAUUCGUAGAUAUUCGGAAGAACACCAGUGGCGAAGGCGACUCUCUGGCACAUUUCUGACGCUGAGGUGCGAAAGCGUGGGGAGCAAAUAGG
This 253-nucleotide ribosomal RNA is filed under the name uncultured bacterium. RNAcentral's name for it is "partial 16S ribosomal RNA". It matches the Rfam family "Bacterial small subunit ribosomal RNA", at positions 524 to 776 of the family's 1533-position model. The record is from RNAcentral.